GGAGAGGUGGCAGAGCGGCCGAAUGCACCGGUCUUGAAAACCGGCGUAGGGUCAAACCUACCGUGGGUUCGAAUCCCACCCUCUCCG
This 87-nucleotide transfer RNA is filed under the name Planctomycetaceae bacterium. RNAcentral describes it as "tRNA-Ser". It matches the Rfam family "tRNA". From Rfam's summary of the family: Transfer RNA (tRNA) molecules are approximately 80 nucleotides in length. Their secondary structure includes four short double-helical elements and three loops (D, anti-codon, and T loops). Further hydrogen bonds mediate the characteristic L-shaped molecular structure. tRNAs have two regions of fundamental functional importance: the anti-codon, which is responsible for specific mRNA codon recognition, and the 3' end, to which the tRNAs corresponding amino acid is attached (by aminoacyl-tRNA synthetases). tRNAs cope with the degeneracy of the genetic code in two manners: having more than one tRNA (with a specific anti-codon) for a particular amino acid; and 'wobble' base-pairing, i.e. permitting non-standard base-pairing at the 3rd anti-codon position. The record is from RNAcentral. Lineage: Bacteria; Pseudomonadati; Planctomycetota; Planctomycetia; Planctomycetales; Planctomycetaceae.